UACUCCCUUUCAAGCAUUCACAAACACAAUUUAAAAUUCUUAUUUUAAAAGAAACCAACAACACACUCUCCUUCCUAAAAACCAUCGGCUAUUCUCUCUCUACUGAGUUCUUUCCCAAAUAAACCCCGUCGGCUCUCCCUCUCUCUCCCAGAAUCGCAACACCGAAAGAAUGAGAAAAAAAGAUUAGAACUCCGUCGCUUGCUCCAAAUCGCCGCUGCACCGGAGUCGACGCCGCUGCUGACUCCGAUUCGUCCCCCACGGAAGCUCCAGGUGCCGCCGUUGUCUCCGGCCGAACGGCAGCUGUCCCUCCUCCGUCUCUACCCUUCUUUCUUUCUCUCCGGUAGGGAUUAUAUUUUUCAGUUGAGACAGAGGGCUAAGGUGAUUUAAAAUUAUCCUAAAUGAAUGCAAGGAAUUUAAUGCUAGGAAUUGAUCGGUGGUUACCUUCUUAGUCGUAUAAAAUGUCAAGAUUUGAAGGAGAAGCUUCAUCAAGUUUUACCUUUAGUGUGCAGCCGAAGAUAUCUGCAUUCAUGUAAACAAGAACUUCAGUCAAAGUGGAUUAGUCAGAUCUUGAACUUUCUCUUAUUGUAAUGUUGAUUAUUAAAAUAUUGUUCAUUGAAAUAAUGAUUCGAUUUUAAUUUUUUAAUUUUUAUUACUA
Long non-coding RNA from Salvia splendens (bonfire salvia), 655 nucleotides. RefSeq lists it as uncharacterized. NCBI's taxonomy places the organism in Eukaryota, Viridiplantae, Streptophyta, Magnoliopsida, Lamiales, Lamiaceae. The transcript is spliced from 3 exons. The record is from RefSeq and is a predicted model, not a curated record.